RNAcentral lists this long non-coding RNA (4683 nucleotides) under Xyrichtys novacula (pearly razorfish). The record is from RNAcentral. Lineage: Eukaryota; Metazoa; Chordata; Actinopteri; Labriformes; Labridae.
CGAUUUGGGAUCUUGGUGAUCCUGUAACCUGCUGGUAGUCUGUUGGCAUCUACAGUAGCACCAAUGCUUUUGACUUUCACCUUGACUGGGCCCCAUUUGUAAUGAUCUGAAGUAUUUAUCUGCAUUAUAUCUGAAUUUAAUCGGAAGGAUACGAGCGAGCAGGAGCGUCUGUUUGUGGGCGGGGCUUGGAGGAGCAGAGAGGGAGGGGAGAGGAGGAGCUGAAGGGAGGGGUAGAGUUCAAGAUUUCUCCUAAAAACUUGAACUUCCUCAGAUCCUGACUACCCCACCUUUAACCAGACAAGACACAGAAUCCACACAGAGAGGCCUCUACCUGGCCGGGGAUUCGAACCAGAGACCCUCAUACUUAAUUUGUUUGUUGUACUACACUGAUUGUUUCACUGUAAUAGAAAUAGAAAUAGAAAUAGGCUCCUUUGACUUUUCAAAUGAUAUUCUUAAUAAUCAAACAGGCUUUGUGUAUUUAUUGCACACAUCCAAACAGACUGAAAAGUCUUUUGUCUGAUUCUUCUGACUCUGUGCUGCAGGAGUUUCAACAUACUGUCGAUGAUGGUGGUGGUCCUGGUGAAAAGAAGCAACUCUGCCUCUGUAUUAGCCGAUUGAUCAGUGAGAUCAAUCGAAAAUGAACUCUGAAGGUUGGACCUCUCUCACUCUGCAGGACUGUUAACACAUCUCACGUAAAACACACACGGACACACACUUACACACUCAGACACAGGGGUUACUUUAAGUGGAUAAUGAGGACGACACCCCGGGUGCUGAAAUAAUUGAAGCUGUUUGAUGUCUCGUCGAAUAAUACUCACACACCUUUGACUCACUCUCUGCUUCUGUCUCUCUCUCUCUUGUCAUUUCUCUCACACAUUAAACCUUUUCCUCAUUAGGAUGAUGAACAGUAAAACGCACACAUUCGAGCUGGACCACAAAAGCAGGCGCGCACACCUGAACUAAACCUGAUAGAUGUCUGAUCCUUGAAGUUGUUCAGAGGAGCUCAAUAUAUGGGUCUCUAAUAAAUCCUGACAGAAGCGUGUAUCUGUGUGUUAAGGAGAGUGAUGUAUGGAUCCUUUAGAAGAAGAAAGUGGGCAUGUAUAUAAUUACUGCGGUACUUUGUUUUAGAUCUCAUCAGAACACCUUUGCACUGAGUAUCUUUGCACCGAAUAGAAAAAGUGUGAAAGUCAGAAGUUCUGAGUUUCUGUUGGUUUCAUGUAAUUCACUGUUCGGCUCAUCUAAGUCGACAGCUGCUUGCAAACUGCAUCAAUUGUCACAAGGUGAAGUCCGAAGUCAAAUAUAAGGUGAUUGCAAUGUCUGGUCACUCCUCUGUUAAAGGUGAGCUGCAGCAUGGGUGGAAAAUGAUGCGACCUAGUACUAGCAGCCGUCCGAGAGGCGAUUUUGUACUUUUAAAACCGGCAUUUAGAGAUCCAAAGUGAUCAAAGUUAGAUUGAAGUUAGAGCUUCAGAUUACUAUCAAUUGAACAUUUAAUCUCUUUAAUUUAAACUUAUCUUUUAGAUUGCUUUAAAACUGUUGAAAGCCCGCAGAGACAUAUUUACAUAAUACACAAUUAAAGGAAUAUUCUGGCGUAAAUUAAGUUAAGGUCAAACACAUCGUAACACCGAGUUAGACACCCCCUCGAGAGAUAAAUGUUGCUGUCAGCUUCCUUCUCUAGUUAUACCAACUUUAGUAACGACCACAGAUAGCGCUCAACCAAAACGCCACUCUAUAGCCACGAAUAAUGCUCAGAACAGCACCUAACUUCAUCAACAGGACAUAUAGGGUCACAGACAUAGUAGUAGACACCAAACAUCUUUUUAACUUUGAAUCAUUUCUUUAGCAAAGAGACUAAACACAACUCACCCACUUUCUUCUGUUGUCCAUUUCCUGGUUAGCCUAUUAGGUAUCAAAACAAUCAACAAACAGAUAAGCCAGAAGCACACAGGUUGUGUUACUUCACAGCUCUGCACCUUUCGUAUGUAUGAAGGGAGGUUUAGUUGCUGUUUUACUUCUGGGUCAAAGCUUGUUUAGGGUGACUAUACGCCCUCUUUUACCCCGACCUGUCCUCUCUUUUGGGGGCAGUCCGGCCUUGUUCGGGGAGGUUUAUAAAAUCCUUAAACGUCUGGAGUUUUGAAUGGAAGCUUUGAGUUCAUAGUGCGUGGACUUCCUGAGUUAUGAGCGCGUAAAAGACACUCGAUCUGACCCGAAAAACUCUCAAAAUUAACUACGCGUGACUCCGCCCCCCGUAGUCGUGUCCUCUUUUUGGAGAUUCAGAAUACGGUCACCCUAAGCUUGAUGUACAAACUGUGGAGCCUGUGCAGAGAGAUAAAGAGUUUACACGCACAAGAAAAUCAAACAUCAUCUUCGUAGAUGUGACUCUGAGAAAAUUCAUUCAGUGUGAUUUCAGAUUUCAGUUGGAGGUGUUUGCAUGUUAUUCAAGAGCCUAGACUAGAGCAACAAAUCAGAUUUUUACACAAGACGUAAACACACGGGCUGAUCAGCUGUCUCUGAGGAGAGGUUUUGCAUGGAUAUCAUUCGGAGGCCUUUAUGCACUUUCAUCAAAGUUGUUCCAAUUAACUGGCAGGACAAAGCCGUGGUUGAAUAGCUGUAAUAUGAGCGCUGGAUGUUUCCGAUGCUUUCAGUAGGACUUAAUGAACCUGCCGCGUGUCGUCUUUGAUGGAAAAUGGAAGUGAUUGCACACAGUGUGCAGACAGUGGAAGAACAGGUCACAGCUCACGUCUGCCCCGGGUCUUUAACAGAUUAAUCCAGCCAUGGUAACAGCAGAGACCAACACUGACAAUACAAAGGAAGUGACUCACAAAAGCUAUUCUGUCAGCUCCACAUGCAUAGAUAAGCGUUUAGAUGAAAUGAUGUGUAUGCACAGAAAUCCUCUCAUCCGCCUCGCCUCGGUCAGGACUUUCACUCUCCUCAAAAAGUUGCACCAGGGUGAAAAGUUCACAAUUUGGUUUAUUUUUUCUCACGAGACAUUCAGAUGAAAAAAGUUGCGAGUAUGGAGUUAAUGAGUUGUCAAAGAAGUUUUGACUCCAGUCGGUGCCCUGAAAGUGAGUCCGUCCUUUGAUAGAUCACAGCUGAUGCAACUGUAAAAUAUCAAAAAGAGGUAUUAUCUAAGGAACUCCAGUCUGAGGUGUCAUAAUCAUAAUCAGACUCAGGUCAGUUAUAGUCCAGGUAGGGCUGGGCGACACAUCGAAUAAUCUUAGCAUGCUACAGUUUUCACAUCUAUUGAUACUGACAUUGAUUACUGUCAAAGUAAAUAACAAAUCAGUGUUUCUUUCAUAUUUUAAAGUUAUUGAUAAAGUAUCAGUUUGUUCAAUUUGGUAAAGCUAAUAAAACAAAUCAUGUUUGGUUCGUCUGACAAUGAAAGGCAGGAAGACUCAGAAAUAAGAAGCAUAUUUAUUCAUUUUAUAUGUCUUUCAGUCCUUUAAAUUUGUGUUCGGUCAAAUGGCACGGUGUUGGAGAACAGUGAUAUGAGACUUUGCUGAUGGUGAGUCUCACUUCACUGCCCGCUGAGCUCAUUUUAACUCUUGUUCGGUCCUAGAACCUCUUGCUUAAGGUGUGUUUCAAGGACUCACUCCGAUGAAAAUCAUGUUUUUCUUGUUUGUGAUGCUGCUCGUCUUCGCCGGUCUAUCUUUGCUGCUCUGUCCGACAGAAAACAGUCAAAAUAUCUAAAAACAACUGAAGUUAAGAAGCUCGUCUUUGUGUAGCUACAGUGGUUUCUUUAUAUGUCUGUAAUCCUGUGAUCUGAUUGGCCGCAUGUCUUGGUCCUCUUCUUCUCUGUAAUAUCCACUGUCAUCUGACAUUUUAGCACAUUAGCGCCCCCUUUCUAUGAUCCAACAAGUAGGCUGAUAAAAACCUUUAAUCAAAAAAACAUUGGGACAGAUUUGAUUUCUGAUGAAGUUUGAACUUUAUUAAUCUUAUAUGACUUCAUCUGUGUCAGAGUUUCCUCCUCCUGAGCGGCUGAAGAAAGAGCCUGAAGGUGUCCGAUUCUUCAUAAACUCUCCCUCCAGGGCUCGGUCACGGGUCCUUCAUCACUUUCUUACACAAUGAGGUCAGGAUCAGCAGCAGAGUCCUCCUAAAACACGUCCUAAAGUGGUUUUAAUCCUCUUCUGAAGUAAAGAUGUUUCAUGAGUUAUUAAAGUUACAACACCGUCUUGGAGUACUGCUGCUUCUUCUUCCUUGUUAUGGCCAUGAUGAGGAGCAUGUUGUCUGUUUGUUUAUGAUUAUAAUCAUGCUGAGCGUACUGGAGGAGACUGAAGCACGAGUGAAACAAGAAGCAAAUAUUUGAGUCUGGGCGGGAGGAUUAAUCCAGCCCCAGUCCCCGUUAAAUAGACGCCCAUGUUUGGAAAGUGUUAGAAUUAAAGGUUAGAGCUCACUGAAGAGUCAGCAGCUUCAGGACACUUUUAGACAGAAACGGUCUCCAAAGAAAACGGAAACGUGCCGUUUCGUUUUCAGUUUUUAUGCUGUGUUUACACAAAAAUGCAAUGUGGUUGAAAACGCUGUAAUGUGCAUGCCAGGUCGCUAGGUGGCGCGUCUCGGUGUGACCACACUCCCAUAUAGACCAACAACGCAUACGUAGAACAACUUCCAAAGACGUCCCCUUGUUCCCCUCCGCCGACCAGUUGGCACAUUUAUUAUUUGAUGCAAAUAAUUCAGACGCCUCCUCUG